GACAAACGCUGGCGGCAUGCCUAACACAUGCAAGUCGAACGGACAGAACAGGGAAGCUUUUCGGAGUGGAACUGGAAAGUUAGUGGCGGAUGGGUGAGUAACGCGUGGACAACCUACCUUGUAAAGGGGAAUAACCUCGAGAAAUCGAAGCUAAUACCCCAUAAUAACCUUGCUUCGCAUGAAGUAAGGAGGAAAGGCUGCCUUAGCGCUGUCGAUACAAGAUGGGUCCGCGUCUGAUUAGCUAGUUGGUGAGGUAAAGGCUCACCAAGGCGACGAUCAGUAGCCGGCCUGAGAGGGUGAACGGCCACAUUGGGACUGAGACACGGCCCAAACUCCUACGGGAGGCAGCAGUGGGGAAUCUUCCGCAAUGGGCGAAAGCCUGACGGAGCAAUGCCGCGUGAGUGAAGAAGGCCUUCGGGUUGUAAAACUCUGUCCUUAGCGAAGAGAGAGUGUUGUAGUAACUGACAAUACUAGGACGGUAGAUGAGGAGGAAGCCCCGGCUAACUAUGUG
RNAcentral lists this ribosomal RNA (511 nucleotides) under uncultured bacterium. RNAcentral describes it as "partial 16S ribosomal RNA". It matches the Rfam family "Bacterial small subunit ribosomal RNA", at positions 28 to 507 of the family's 1533-position model. The record is from RNAcentral.